This 567-nucleotide ribosomal RNA is filed under the name uncultured bacterium. Its description in RNAcentral is "bacterial SSU rRNA". It matches the Rfam family "Bacterial small subunit ribosomal RNA", at positions 339 to 916 of the family's 1533-position model. The record is from RNAcentral.
CUACGGGAGGCAGCAGUGGGGAAUAUUGCACAAUGGGCGAAAGCCUGAUGCAGCGACGCCGCGUGAGGGAUGACGGCCUUCGGGUUGUAAACCUCUUUCAGCAGGGAAGAAGCGAAAGUGACGGUACCUGCGGAAGAAGCGCCGGCUAACUACGUGCCAGCAGCCGCGGUAAUACGUAGGGCGCAAGCGUUGUCCGGAAUUAUUGGGCGUAAAGAGCUCGUAGGCGGCUUGUCACGUCGGGUGUGAAAGCCCGGGGCUUAACCCCGGGUCUGCAUUCGAUACGGGCUAGCUAGAGUGUGGUAGGGGAGAUCGGAAUUCCUGGUGUAGCGGUGAAAUGCGCAGAUAUCAGGAGGAACACCGGUGGCGAAGGCGGAUCUCUGGGCCAUUACUGACGCUGAGGAGCGAAAGCGUGGGGAGCGAACAGGAUUAGAUACCCUGGUAGUCCACGCCGUAAACGGUGGGAACUAGGUGUUGGCGACAUUCCACGUCGUCGGUGCCGCAGCUAACGCAUUAAGUUCCCCGCCUGGGGAGUACGGCCGCAAGGCUAAAACUCAAAGGAAUUGACGG